This 484-nucleotide ribosomal RNA is filed under the name uncultured bacterium. RNAcentral's name for it is "partial 16S ribosomal RNA". It matches the Rfam family "Bacterial small subunit ribosomal RNA", at positions 30 to 507 of the family's 1533-position model. The record is from RNAcentral.
AUUGAACGCUGGCGGCAGGCCUAACACAUGCAAGUCGAGCGGAUGAAGGGAGCUUGCUCCUGGAUUCAGCGGCGGACGGGUGAGUAAUGCCUAGGAAUCUGCCUGGUAGUGGGGGAUAACGUCCGGAAACGGGCGCUAAUACCGCAUACGUCCUGAGGGAGAAAGUGGGGGAUCUUCGGACCUCACGCUAUCAGAUGAGCCUAGGUCGGAUUAGCUAGUUGGUGGGUUAAAGGCCUACCAAGGCGACGAUCCGUAACUGGUCUGAGAGGAUGAUCAGUCACACUGGAACUGAGACACGGUCCAGGCUCCUACGGGAGGCAGCAGUGGGGAAUAUUGGACAGUGGGCGAAAGCCUGAUCCAGCCAUGCCGCGUGUGUGAAGAAGGUCUUCGGAUUGUAAAGCACUUUAAGUUGGGAGGAAGGGCAGUAAGUUAAUACCUUGCUGUUUUGACGUUACCAACAGAAUAAGCACCGGCUAACUUCGUG